UACGUAGGCAGCGAGCGUUGUUCGGAGUUACUGGGCGUAAAGCGUGCGUAGGCGGUGGUCCAAGUCUGGUGUGAAAUCUCCCGGCUCAACUGGGAGGGUGCGCCGGAAACUGGGCCGCUGGAGUACGGGAGAGGCAAGCGGAAUUCCUGGUGUAGCGGUGAAAUGCGUAGAUAUCAGGAGGAACACCCGUGGUGCAGACGGCUUGCUGGACCGUGACUGACGCCGAGGCACGAAAGCGUGGGUAGCAAACAGG
This 253-nucleotide ribosomal RNA is filed under the name uncultured bacterium. RNAcentral describes it as "partial 16S ribosomal RNA". It matches the Rfam family "Bacterial small subunit ribosomal RNA", at positions 524 to 776 of the family's 1533-position model. The record is from RNAcentral.